UCUGUUAUUUGUGAUGUAGGUCUUACAGACGCCAUCAUGUGCUAUAUAGUCUAUCCUUAAGAGGAUUGUUCUGCUUCUGUUAUUUGUGAUGAAGGUCUUCAGAGAUGCCAUCAUGUGUUAUAGUCCUUAAGAGGUAUAUCCUUAAGAGGUUAGCUUGAGACCUUGUUUGUCAAAAGCAUGUUUUAUGACCUUAAAGAGUAAUGAUCUCAAGGUUACCUUGAAAGGGUCACUUACAUGCAUACUUUCCAGAGGUCGCUGGUGAAAUUACGGUUUCCAAUAGAGCGGAGAGAGCAACUGUUCGGAAUGCCUAGCUGAACGAAUGCAUGCUACAGGCUGCGCGACAACCUUGUCAUGAAGGGCCAACUUCUGCGGUCGUUGCGCUGACAGCCACGAAAGAAGCCGUAUCACCGUGGCUUUCGUAUGAAGAUUUGAUAUGAGCUUCUUAACAAGAGCUUGUGCUGUGUUGGAAGGUGGCUAUGAUCACGCAUAGGGUGUGUCAUGUUAACCUCUCACGAGUUGUACGCCUUCUUGCGCAUGUGGGGAGCUUCACAGCCUACAGUGACGAAGCCAACUGUGAGUUUGUUCCAUGUAUUUGCUAUUUAAACGACGCCAAUCAUCAUUAUUAUAUUGAGCGGUUGGUUAGUUUGGAAUGCACCGCUCACGUAAGUCUUAACUUAAGGCAUAAAUGGCAUAAUACUUGCCUGAAAAUAAAUGAAAUGUAUUGAUGGGU
RNAcentral lists this long non-coding RNA (730 nucleotides) under Leguminivora glycinivorella. RNAcentral's name for it is "uncharacterized LOC125232888". Lineage: Eukaryota; Metazoa; Arthropoda; Insecta; Lepidoptera; Tortricidae. The record is from RNAcentral.